This 252-nucleotide ribosomal RNA is filed under the name uncultured bacterium. Its description in RNAcentral is "partial 16S ribosomal RNA". It matches the Rfam family "Bacterial small subunit ribosomal RNA", at positions 524 to 776 of the family's 1533-position model. The record is from RNAcentral.
UACGUAGGGUGCAAGCGUUAAUCGGAAUUACUGGGCGUAAAGCGUGCGCAGGCGGUUGUGUAAGACAGAUGUGAAAUCCCCGGGCUCAACCUGGGAACUGCAUCCGGGACUGCAUUGCUAGAGUAUGGGAGAGGAAGCGGAAUUUCUGGUGUAGCAGUGAAAUGCGUAGAUAUCAGAAGGAACAUCAGUGGCGAAGGCGGCUUCCUGGACCAAUACUGACGAUCAGGUGCGAAAGCGUGGGGAGCAAACAGG